This 22-nucleotide microRNA is filed under the name Human gammaherpesvirus 8. RNAcentral's name for it is "miR-K9". The record is from RNAcentral. Lineage: Duplodnaviria; Heunggongvirae; Peploviricota; Herviviricetes; Herpesvirales; Orthoherpesviridae.
AGCGGGGUUUACGCAGCUGGGU